This 450-nucleotide ribosomal RNA is filed under the name uncultured bacterium. RNAcentral describes it as "partial 16S ribosomal RNA". It matches the Rfam family "Bacterial small subunit ribosomal RNA", at positions 354 to 796 of the family's 1533-position model. The record is from RNAcentral.
GUAGGGAAUCUUCGGCAAUGGACGAAAGUCUGACCGAGCAACGCCGCGUGAGUGAAGAAGGUUUUCGGAUCGUAAAACUCUGUUGGUAGAGAAGAACGUUGGUGAGAGUGGAAAGCUCAUCAAGUGACGGUAACUACCCAGAAAGGGACGGCUAACUACGUGCCAGCAGCCGCGGUAAUACGAAGGUGGCAAGCGUUGUCCGGAUUUACUGGGCGUAAAGCGAGCGCAGGUGGUUUAUUAAGUCUGGUGUAGAAGGCAGUGGCUCAACCAUUGUAUGCAUUGGAAACUGGUAGACUUGAGUGCAGGAGAGGAGAGUGGAAUUCCAUGUGUAGCGGUGAAAUGCGUAGAUAUAUGGAGGAACACCGGUGGCGAAAGCGGCUCUCUGGCCUGUAACUGACACUGAGGCUCGAAAGCGUGGGGAGCAAACAGGAUUAGAAACCCGGGUAGUCC